CCUACGGGAGGCAGCAGUGGGGAAUUUUGGACAAUGGGCGCAAGCCUGAUCCAGCUAUUCCGCGUGUGGGAUGACGGCCCUCGGGUUGUAAACCACUUUAGUAGAGAACGAAAAGGAGCUAGCGAAUAAAUAUCUCUGCUUACGGUACUCUAAGAAUAAGCACCGGCUAAAUACGUGCCAGCAGCCGCGGUAAUACGGAGGGUGCGAGCGUUAAUCGGAUUUUCUUGGCGUAAAGGGUGUGCAGGCGGCUGAGUAAGACAGAUGUGAAAUCCCCGGGCUUAACCUGGGAACCGCAUAUGUGACUGUUUGGCUAGAGUGCGUCAGAGGGAGGUGGAAUUCCAUGUGUAGCAGUGAAAUGCGUAGAUAUGUGGAAGAACACCGAUGGCGAAGGCAGCCUUCUGGGAUGCAACUGACGCUGAUGCACGAAAGCGUGGGGAGCAAACAGGAUUAGAUACCCUAGUAGUC
RNAcentral lists this ribosomal RNA (465 nucleotides) under uncultured bacterium. RNAcentral describes it as "partial 16S ribosomal RNA". It matches the Rfam family "Bacterial small subunit ribosomal RNA", at positions 338 to 795 of the family's 1533-position model. The record is from RNAcentral.